GAAAAAGAUUUAAUAAGCAUUAAAAUAAUGCAAUGCAUGCAUGCAAUAUUAGAAAUCCUACUAUUUUCAUGCAACACAAUGCCACAGAUCAGAAAAAUAUCUAUAAAAUACUACUGACUCAAUAAAGCCACCUGCUGGAAUACCUAAGAACAUUCUGCAAGUAAAAAAUCUCAUUUUGAUUUGUCUUGACACUCUGAACCACUUCAUGAAAAAUGCCAUCUAUGAAGCAGAUAAACACACACGCUGAAGUACGCUGGAGCUUGUAUUAACCACCCCGGGAUGCAACAAUUCCAAGUAAAGCAGCAUUUGAAUUAGAAACUAUACAGUGGUGUUCUAGGGAAUUACAACCUGUCAGUGGCAUCCAAUACAACCAAACAGUAUUUCAUAACAAAAGACAGCAUGUCGCUACAAUAGUUUACUGUAUUAUCAAUAGCUACAGCCAAUUGGAAUUGAUUUUAUGAAUAUGUUUUAUAAUCAGUUCCACAACUAUGUACACAGGACUGGGAGUUUACAGAUGAAUGCAACAAAACUGAACAAGUGUUUAAAUGCAUAAAUGUAUUUGAUUAAGUAUUCAGAAAAGAGACACCACACAAUAUAUGUUUAGAAUACAUAAAUCACAUCUAAAAGUAAUGGAUAACUGUGCCUCCGAGAACUGGCUAAACACUAAAUUUUAGAAAUCACAAUUACCUGUAUAUUUUUCAAAAUUCUUAAGCUGGUAUGAUGCAUACCGUAGAGAAAUUUGUUUGGAAGAAUCAUUUUAAAAAUAUGUCUCUCCAAGUUGUAUGAAUUACUCUUAAUACAGUAUGACAACUAACCCAUACUAAUAAUUUGUCCAUCUCUUCUAGAAAAAAAAGUCACCAUUCCACUCAUCAACUGUUUUCAUCUUUGAGCACUAAUGUUUUGCAUUUCACAGUAGCUUUAUUCAAAGAAAAUUCAGCUGUUUACCUUCAUGAAAACAAUUAAAAUAUGAAAAUGAAAAGACACGCCAUCAAUCUGAAAAACAUCAUCAUGGAAUCACUCCCUGUGAGGGAACUGGCAACAAGUGGAAAGCUGCAAGGAGGAAUUAAAAAGACUGGCAAAUAAGAAGGACCUAAAUAUUCAACGAUCAGAUUUCACAAAAUGCAUAACUUCAUCAGGCCUUCGCUAUUCAUUUUGAAAUGGUAUCAUAAAGCAGUAAGAGUGGGCUAUGGAAUAAACAAAAUCUAAA
Molecule: long non-coding RNA, 1207 nt
Organism: Cygnus olor (mute swan)
Lineage: Eukaryota; Metazoa; Chordata; Aves; Anseriformes; Anatidae
Exons: 3
Source: RefSeq, a predicted model, not a curated record